AUAGCAUAUUCCUGAUCAGGGCAGUCUUCCUUUACCUGGACUGUGAACACCUGAGGGCUGGGGACAAUACCUGAGUCAUCCUUUUAUUUCCAUACCUAGCACAGGCCUGAUUCGUGGUAGGCCUUCAAUAAAUGUCGAGUAUGCCAAUCAACGAUAAUCAAGGAAUACCACAAAUUCAGAGUUCAGCCAAAUCUCUUCCCCUUUCUGGGCCUCAGUUUCUCUGUGUAAAUCAGAUAUGAAAACACCUGCCAUCAGAAUUUAUAAUGCUGUUGGUGCUGCAAAAGGGAGACUGUGCUUGGGGACCUGUUUUAGAAUUCGCCAUGUGACGGACCUCAGGCAACCAGCGUCUUCUACUUUGCCCACUGUCGCACUCCACAUCCGUGCCUCUGCGGCACUUCGUGUACAUUGUCUUACUCAACACUGGGAUAGGUAUUGUUGUGAUUAUGCCCAUUUAACAGAUGAGGCUGUUGAGGCUUGGAGAGGCCAAGAAACUUUGAAGUCAGAUCAAUUGAGAUCGAAAUCCUGGCUCUGCCGUGUAAACUUGGGAAAGUUUACUUCACCUCUGGGAACCUCUCAAAGAUGAGGAGAUUAAACGAGAUAAAGCAUGGAAAGCCCCUGGCACACAGGAGGUCAUUGGUGGUGUGAUUCUCUUCGUUGCUCAAGCCAGGAAGUUAGAGUGAGAUUCUGUUCUUUCUAUCAACCAUGCUGAUGCCUUUACGUUAGUUAACAAAAAAGAUUACAGUUCUGCUUGGACUAUGGUGCUUCAACAUAUGUAAGGAAGAUUUCAACUGCGCAUUUUGAAACUUGCAACGUUCAGAAUAACUAAAUAAUCAAUGAGCUGCUGUGGCCUUCCCAGGAAGAUAAUGUGCCAUUUCCUUCCCCCGCCUGCCUCCUAGUGGUGAAUGUGGGCACUGCAGGCUCAGCAUCCCCGCCCCCUCCCUCAACCUUCCAUCCAGGAGAGCCAGGCUCCCGGCUGCCUCUCAGGCCAUCUAGUGACUGUUGACUGCAGAGCAAGAAAGGAGGAGCGUGUGCCAAGAAAAUGAAUGAAGACGUCCUGCCUAGACCUCACGCCCUGCUCCAUCACUCACUGGCUGUGCGGCCUUGGGGGUAUCAUUCCCUGAAUGUUAGUUUCCAUGUUGGUAAAAACGGGUAAGACACCUACCUUGGAGAAUUUUGGGGGAUGAAUAUGCUAACUGAGGCAAAACACCUAGCAAAGGGCGGAUGCUCCAUAAAAUAUAGCUCCUCUGCUAAUAAAAUGAAAAAUUAAAUAGCACAACUAAAUUAUUACAGACUGGCUCACAGUUUCAUAGCAGAGUAAAGGGCCACGGGGCAGGUCAGUUUUGAGGGCAGGGGAAGAAGGUCAAAGGGCAUUGUUAGGACAAUCCAGGGCUGGGGCACAGCCGGGGAGUGUGGGUGCAGAGUCAAGAAGAGAUUCAAGAGCGUACCAAUGACCUUGAGAAGUGACCUCUGCUUGUGUUGUUAGGACACAGACAUGUGGAGGUUGCAGGCCACAGCAGAGGAGGGGACAUGAACAACAGCAAGUGUUCCAGGAAGGACUGUGGACCAGGCCAGUCAAGGAGUGCUCCCUGGAGGAAGGGAUAUUUAAAGCUGGGGUAGGUUCUGGAGAGUGAGGCGGGGAUCGAGGGGGUGUUCCAGAUCAGGGAGGGAAAGAAAGAGGAAGCACAAGCCAAGGUCCAAGGGCUUUGAGAAGGAGACCAGCUGGAGAGAAGGCAGAGCAGGAGGUCAGGCCAGACCACCCUGGGGCCAGGAGCUUCACCGGCACCCCCUGGAUGGGGAGGAGCCUGAGAAAAUGUUCCAACAGGGCCUGACAAGGGCAGAGGCUGAGCACAGCAGCUUAACUUGACAUCUCUGUGCAGAUUGGAUGGGAAGAAUGACUAGAUUUGGUUAAAUGCACAAAAAAUUCAAAGCCACAAUCCCUGAAGCCAGUAUGGGGUAGGAACAGCAAAGGGACACAGCUGUCUCCUGGCCCCGGCUCUUUUCAGCAGGCUCAGCGGCAGCUCCCCUCACUGAGAGGCAGCAAGGUGCAGUGCAGGGCCAGCCCUAGACCUGCUGAGCACCACGACUGCCUGGGGACUGGGGCACCUUGAAAAACCAACUCCCCCACUCCAGCCCACAGCAGCUGAAGUAGGAUUUCUGGGGUUGGGCCCUGGAAUCAGAAUUGUUAGUAGCUCUGCAGGUGAUAGAGCUACUCCUCCAGGCUGAGGAUAAUCCGUGAACAGGGAAAGAAUGGGAAUUUGGAGAAGGAUGGACCCAGAGCCAAUGCCAGGCCCAUUCCUUUUGGGCUGUGCUGCCCUGGGCAAGUCACUUCACCACUCUGAGUCCCAGGGUCUCACCUAUAAAACAGGCAUGAAAAACUCUCCCCAAAGAAUGUUGGAGGCUCCCAGCACUGGGCCAGGACAUGGCAGGUGCUUAGUGGAUGGAAGACUAAACCCAGGGGUGCCUGGGGCUCUGACUGCCCCUUCCUGCGCUCCACACACUCAGCCUGUGAGUUGAUAAUUAAAUCUCCCCAAGAAGAAGUGGCUAGAAAUGAUUUUGGAGGAAAUGAGGCCAGUCCCCAGGAAGGGAUGGCUGCAGCAGAUUAAUGUCAAGGUUUGCCCUGGGUUUUCCCUUGCCCAUCACGCCAUCCCAGCUGGCCCUGGAAGAAGUAGUGGGGGGCAGACAGGGCACGUCCUAGGGGCCUCAACGUCCCUUCAGGGGCUCUUCCUCCCUCCGACCAGCCUCCAGGCGCCCUCACCUGCCCCCUCCCCUUUCGUCUCAGGCAAGCCAGGGCUAGCUCCCACGAGAGCGGCCAGCAUUCUGUGGUUUCGGAGCCCCCGGGGACCCCAAGGUCUCUGGGUGGUUGUAGGGUGAUCAUUUACGGUGGCUGAAUGGGGGCCUAGAGGUCAAGUGUGGAUCCUGCGGUCAGUGAGGAGGAAGGAACGACAGGAUUGGAUUGCUGGCUGGGUAUAAGGAGGGAUGAGGGCAUUGAAGGUGACGCCCUGGUUUUGGGCCUGGACAAGGGGUGAGCCAAGGAGGGAGUAGGAGAAAGGAGUGUGCCUGCUACUGUGGCAGGACACACAGGAAGAGCAGAUUUGGGGUGGGAGAAGAUCCUCAGCUUCCUAAUGGGGAGGAGAAUGUAUCAGAACUCCUUCCAGCCCCCUGGCUCAACAGAUUCAAAGUGGCUUAGACACAGCGCAUUCUGUUUUCUGCGUUUGUUUUUCUUCUCCCAUGAAGCAGUCCAGGUGGGUGUCCAGGGCAGGUACUGAGCCCCACCAAGUUAUCAAGGAUCCAGACGGCUCCCAUCUUUCUGCUCCAGUGCACGUGACUGCCGCCCUUCCCAUCACCUCAGGAUCCAAGAUGGCAGUGGAGUCGGGCAUCACGUGUCUGUCCAGUCGGUGAACAGGAGGAAGGGGAGGGGGAGACGGGACGAGACUGCGAGUCAAGUGAGCUUCUUUCAAGUAAUCUCAGAAGUCCCCCAUGACACCUUCACAUCUGUUGGGAAGAACCAAGUCACAUGGCCAUUACUAC
Equus asinus (donkey) is the source of this 3528-nucleotide long non-coding RNA. Lineage: Eukaryota; Metazoa; Chordata; Mammalia; Perissodactyla; Equidae. The record is from Ensembl.